This is a long non-coding RNA of Prunus persica (peach), 702 nucleotides long. RefSeq lists it as uncharacterized. The record is from RefSeq and is a predicted model, not a curated record. NCBI's taxonomy places the organism in Eukaryota, Viridiplantae, Streptophyta, Magnoliopsida, Rosales, Rosaceae. The transcript is spliced from 3 exons.
UCCUCUCUUAUACGACAACGGAGCUCUCUGCAACUCCUUGUCGCGAUGAAGCCACUGCCGUCCUGAUACGCCAUCUAAAAGCAAGCCAUCACGUUCAAGUCCGUACCGGGUGGGAACCCACUGAUGCACGCAGCCAAGCUAGGCCAUGGAGACACCGUCAAGACUAUUCUAUAAGCUGGCGCGCCAUGGACGCCCUAUCUCUUUCCAAUCUCUCCGCCGGCGACUUCGCCAUGGACGCAGGCCACGAAGAAGCCUACGAAAUACCCCUCAAUACCGGGAUUCAAGCUGAAUUGGUACUGGAACGAUUGCGUGGAAAAAGAAUAAGAAUAGGUUGAGGGCAACAUAGUUGGUGACCGGUGAUGGCUGGCCGGAAGUUUGUGGCAGCGGCUGGUGCGCGGUAGCCGGCCGGACACUGGCAGUGGCUGGCGGCCUGCGACUGGUAGGAAGAUGGCGGCGGUGGCUGGCCGGAAACUGGCAACGGUGGCUGGCCGGAAACUGGCAACGGUGGUGGCGGCGACUGGCAAGAAUAUGGAUGCUGUGGCUGGCCGGCAGGUGCUGGCCCGGCGAUGGGCGGUUGGCCGGAAGGUGGAUUGCUGGAGGUUUUGUGUAACUGGAACAUGGUUUUGGUAAAAUUAGAGGGAGUGGCAUUUUGUGUAAUUUUGAUGUUUUUUAAUUACAUUAUUGUAAAAUUAGGUACUACUU